AUCCAUGAUGUGGACAACCUUUUUGGUAUUCCCUAAAUCUCUCCCAAGCAUCGAAAAGAUCUUCAUUUUAAAAAAAAAAAAGUUCUUAUCUAGUU
Molecule: small nucleolar RNA, 95 nt
Filed under: Eutrema salsugineum
Lineage: Eukaryota; Viridiplantae; Streptophyta; Magnoliopsida; Brassicales; Brassicaceae
Description: Plant small nucleolar RNA R71
Rfam family: Plant small nucleolar RNA R71
About the family: R71 is a member of the C/D box family of snoRNAs containing the C (UGAUGA) and D (CUGA) box motifs. Multiple nearly identical copies of this snoRNA have been identified in Arabidopsis, and it is thought to function as a 2'-O-ribose methylation guide for 18S ribosomal RNA.
Source: Rfam by way of RNAcentral